RNAcentral lists this ribosomal RNA (336 nucleotides) under Triticum aestivum (bread wheat). Its description in RNAcentral is "partial small subunit ribosomal RNA". The record is from RNAcentral. Lineage: Eukaryota; Viridiplantae; Streptophyta; Magnoliopsida; Poales; Poaceae.
AUGGUGGAUCACCUCAUGAUCCAGUGUGUCUUCGCGCGACAGGUCUGGUUCAAAUGUUUUUCCAAAGUGGGCAUCACUCCCAGCCUCAUCCCCAUGCAACAUGAUAGGCUUCACAAGUGGUGGAUGAGUACGCGCAAGCAGAUCAGCAGGGUGGACAAAAAGGGCUUCGAUGCUUUCGUCAUGUUGAUUUGCUGGACGUUGUGGAAGCAAAGGAAUGCUAGGGUUUUCCAGUCAAUUGUUAUUUGCGAUGAGCUUGCUACGGCCAAUCUUAUAUUUCAGGAGCUGCAUCUAUGGAUGCUAGCGGGAGUGGUAGGAGUCCAACGAUUUUGUGAGUAG